UCCCUUACCUGGCGGGGGACAGACCGUGGUCAGGAAGGGGGUUCUCCCUGGUUGAGGCUAGUCCACCGCACUCUGGCUGCGCUCACCCCUGCGAUUUCCCCACACGCGGGGCCCUAGUCUGCGGU
Small nuclear RNA from Homo sapiens (human), 125 nucleotides. The record is from Ensembl. NCBI's taxonomy places the organism in Eukaryota, Metazoa, Chordata, Mammalia, Primates, Hominidae.